RNAcentral lists this ribosomal RNA (290 nucleotides) under uncultured archaeon. RNAcentral describes it as "partial 16S ribosomal RNA". It matches the Rfam family "Archaeal small subunit ribosomal RNA", at positions 1047 to 1343 of the family's 1478-position model. The record is from RNAcentral.
UAUUUCCCUCUCUUAUUCUUCUCCUGGAAUUCUGUUUUUUUUAUUGGGGACCCCUCUUCCUAACUUGAUAAAAAGAAUGCCUAUUUAAGGUCCGUAUGCUCCCAAUACCCUGGGCUACCCACGGGCUAUUUGGUUAUGACAAUGGGUUCCCACACUGAAAGGUGAAGGUAAUCUCCUAAACAUAUUCUAUUUCGGAUUGAGGGCUGUAACUCCCCCUCUUGAAACUGGAAUGCUUUUAAUCUCGUGUUAUAACCGCGCGGUGAAUACUUCCCUGCUCCUUGCACAAAAAA